Molecule: ribosomal RNA, 497 nt
Filed under: uncultured bacterium
Lineage: Bacteria
Description: partial 16S ribosomal RNA
Rfam family: Bacterial small subunit ribosomal RNA
Source: RNAcentral
GAUGAACGCUGGCGGCGUGCCUAAUACAUGCAAGUCGAGCGAACAGACGAGGAGCUUGCUCCUCUGACGUUAGCGGCGGACGGGUGAGUAACACGUGGAUAACCUACCUAUAAGACUGGGAUAACUUCGGGAAACCGGAGCUAAUACCGGAUCAUAUAUUGAACCGCAUGGUUCAAUAGUGAAAGACGGUUUUGCUGUCACUUAUAGAUGGAUCCGCGCCGCAUUAGCUAGUUGGUACGGUAACGGCUUACCAAGGCAACGAUGCGUAGCCGACCUGAGAGGGUGAUCGGCCACACUGGAACUGAGACACGGUCCAGACUCCUACGGGAGGCAGCAGUAGGGAAUCUUCCGCAAUGGGCGAAAGCCUGACGGAGCAACGCCGCGUGAGUGAUGAAGGUCUUCGGAUCGUAAAACUCUGUUAUUAGGGAAGAACAAAUGUGUAAGUAACUAUGCACGUCUUGACGGUACCUAAUCAGAAAGCCACGGCUAACUACGUG